GACGAACGCUGGCGGCGUGCCUAAUACAUGCAAGUCGAACGCUUUUUCUUUCACCGGAGCUUGCUCCAUCGAAAGAAAAAGAGUGGCGAACGGGUGAGUAACACGUGGGUAACCUGCCCAUCAGCAGGGGAUAACACUUGGAAACAGGUGCUAAUACCGUAUAACACUAUUUUCCGCAUGGAAGAAAGUUGAAAGGCGCUUUUGCGUCACUGAUGGAUGGACCCGCGGUGCAUUAGCUAGUUGGUGAGGUAACGGCUCACCAAGGCAACGAUGCAUAGCCGACCUGAGAGGGUGAUCGGCCACACUGGGACUGGGACACGGCCCAGACUCCUACGGGAGGCAGCAGUAGGGAAUCUUCGGCAAUGGACGAAAGUCUGACCGAGCAACGCCGCGUGAGUGAAGAAGGUUUUCGGAUCGUAAAACUCUGUUGUUAGAGAAGAACAAGGAUGAGAGUAAAAUGUUCAUCCCUUGACGGUAUCUAACCAGAAAGCCACGGCUAACUACGUGCCAGCCGCCGCGGUAA
Molecule: ribosomal RNA, 523 nt
Filed under: uncultured bacterium
Lineage: Bacteria
Description: partial 16S ribosomal RNA
Rfam family: Bacterial small subunit ribosomal RNA
Source: RNAcentral